Musa acuminata AAA Group (dessert banana) is the source of this 892-nucleotide long non-coding RNA. RefSeq lists it as uncharacterized. The transcript has 2 exons. NCBI's taxonomy places the organism in Eukaryota, Viridiplantae, Streptophyta, Magnoliopsida, Zingiberales, Musaceae. The record is from RefSeq and is a predicted model, not a curated record.
CUUAAUUUGCUUACACUAUUGCAUUCCGAGAAAAAUCUCCCAUUUGAAGAAUAAUUUCGGAUUGAGGAGUCUGCCAAAAACAUCGGCAACAACUAAUUGAUCAUCCCAUUUGAUGUUGCAUCCCGAUGGAAUCUCCUUCUUCUUGAAAUAAUCUUCACUGGGGCACGGCGUACUGCGCGUUUAGGCCGAACAUUACUAUCCUAUAUGUGGCUAAUAGUAUGUAUGAACUUGCAGACGACUAAACUAUGAAAACUUUCCACAAGAAAAUUGGUGCAGUCAAUCACUCACUCCCCUGGAGAAGUCUUUGAAAUGUUGCACACGAUUCUUCUGAUAAGGAUAGAGCCAGCCAUGUAUUUAUCCACAUUCAUCGUCGCGUCGCGAGUAGUGGGCAACGGUGGGCGCCUUGCAGCAGGUUGCCUCUCCAAACCUAUACAAGCAAAAGCGAACGAGUGAGGAGCAUGGCGUCUCAAGAUAGUAGAAGAAGACGAAGAGGACUUGCCGUGCUCGCUUUCGUUGCCUCCAUGUUCUGGUUGCUGGCAUCGCAGUCCAUUUGCGACGGCCGAGUGUUGAACUACUCGAUUGAUCCGAGCUUGUGGUUGGCGCUUCUUCAAAUACGCUAUGGUCCAUUGGGUUGCAGUACGCCUGAAGGUAAAAAGAAGUGUCAUCCUCCCGUGACGGUCAGGGACCCUAAACCUCAUCAACCGGCCACGCUUGCAGUACCAACUCCGCCUUAACCAAGCAUGACAUGACGGCCGGCCUUUCAAGUCCUUCCGCCACCACCACCACUACUUAUCUCUCUCUCUCUCUCUCGUCCAUGAUCUAUCAUGUGUCUAUGACAUGUACGACAUAAUUAAAAUAAAUUGGAUUAUUGUGUUAUCAUGGUAUUCUGGUA